Molecule: long non-coding RNA, 1987 nt
Organism: Myotis lucifugus (little brown bat)
Lineage: Eukaryota; Metazoa; Chordata; Mammalia; Chiroptera; Vespertilionidae
Exons: 4
Source: RefSeq, a predicted model, not a curated record
AAGGUGCGGGAGCGGUGAAUAUCGGGGGUGGUCAGGGAAGGCCAACACUAAGGCAACCAGAGGCUGAAGGGAGCAGCCCAUGUGGAGAUGGGCAAGGAGGCCUUCCAGGCAGAGGGAACAGUACCUGCUGAGUCCCAGAAGCAGGAGCAGGCCCUGUAGGCCGCUGUGGUCCAGGGGAAGUGGAUUUCUUUUGGGUUUGUUUUUAUUAUAUUUUAAAUUAGAGGAAUGACAUAGGUAAGUGUAUGCUUUAUGGGCACACUGUAUGGGUGAGAGGUGGGACUGGAGCAGGGCAUGGGGUAGAGAGCAGAGGGCAACUUUGAGUUUGAAAGAGGGUUGGGAGAGGGUGAGGCUGGAGUCAGGGAGGCCUGUGAGUGAGCAAAAGCCAGUCAUUCAUUCUUCCUUUCUUUAAUGCAUUUUGUAAUUUGUUUAUUCAACACAUAGUCUCUGGCUCUUACUAUAUCACAGGUACCCUGCAGGGCUCAGGGAAGACAGUGGUGAGGAGAAAGGACACAGAAGGGGGCCCUCCAGGUAUUUGCCACUAGCAGGGGGAGAGCCGGGGCUGGGGCUGGGCAGAGGGCAAAGAGCGGAGGGCCACUUUGAGGGUCACUGUUGCAGCAGAAGCCACAGGAAUUUGUGACUAAUCAGAUGUCAGGGAAAGGGACCAGGAGGAGUCAUAGUUGAGGGCAAAAUGAAAUCCUUCUGGGAGGGGCAGAAGCAGGAAAAAUAGGGCAGGUGCUGCCUGGUGGGGGCUGCGGUUCCUGCUGUCCCAGGUGGAGCAGUUAGUUGCUCAAGGCCCUGCAGGGACAGGCGGAGACUUGCAGGUCCCUCCUCCUUAGCCCUCGCAGACCCCGCCCUGAGCCUACAGUGCCUCUGCCUGCACAGGCUCUGCUGGGCCAUUCCCAGCUGCAGCGGAGGGUAAAUCCGUUUCAGGUAGGAGAGGAGCUAUUACUGACUGGACGACCUUGGGCAAUUACAUGGUCUGUCUGAGCCUCAGUUUGAGAAUCUACAAUAUGGAUUGAUAACAAUUUCAUCACAAGGCUGUGGUGAAAAUCAAAUGUGAUAAAGGCUGUGAGAAGGCAUGCUGGUCCUGAGGACAUGGGGACCACGAUCAAUGGAGAUGUGUUUCAGAAUUUUUCCUAAGGAAAUAACUGGCCAAGGACACCCAGAUUAUCUGCAGGAUGAUGUAUAAUAGCAGGCAAACGGAAACAGCCUAAGUGUCCAGCACUGGGGGCCUGGGUGGGCAAAUUGGAAACCCAUGCUGUAUGGACAUGAAAAGAAGCCGGCAAUAUAAUUGUGAUAGGUACCAGCACGAAGAUAAAAUAUGGCGCGUGCACUAACACAUUCACAAAAGAAACUGCAGUUGUUUGCAGAUGGGACUUGUAUGGAUUGGGCAGGGAUCCUGGCCGCUGGGCCUCAGGGCAGGGCUGUUCUCCCGUGACCAGGGUGGGGCUCACCCAACACAGUGAUCCAUGUGCCCUGGAAAGGCCCCUCGGGAUGUCAUGAGGCUCUAACUCAAGUCAGGAAAGAGGAAUAAGGGCUCCACCCAAAGUGCCCCACCCAAGGGUGGACCUGACCCGAGGUGCCCGGCUACACCACCCAUCCUGUGCCUGCCCCUCCCUCUCCCCAGACAGCCAGAGCCGGGUGUGUGCUCCUUCCCCCUGGCUGCCUGCACCCCUUGGGCAAACAUUUACAAAGCACUUCCUCCGAGCCGGGCACACGCUGGCUCCGGAACCUUCAUGGUGAGCACACUUGUGUGGGGAGAAGACAUUGAACGACACCGACUUCAUGACAGUUUUGAAAAGUGUCUGAAGGAGGAGCAUGGGAGCCUUGAAAGGACAGAGCAGCAGUUUAGAAGUUACAAACAGUCCUGGCCGGUGUGGCUCAGUGGUUGAGCAUCGACCUUUGAACCAGGAGGUCAUGGUUCGAUUCCCAGUCGGGCACAUGCCCAGGUUGCAGGCUCGAUCCCCAGUGUGGGGUGUGCAGGAGG